RNAcentral lists this ribosomal RNA (253 nucleotides) under uncultured bacterium. RNAcentral describes it as "partial 16S ribosomal RNA". It matches the Rfam family "Bacterial small subunit ribosomal RNA", at positions 524 to 776 of the family's 1533-position model. The record is from RNAcentral.
UACGAAGGGGGCUAGCGUUGUUCGGAAUUACUGGGCGUAAAGCGCGCGCAGGCGGUCCUUCAAGUCAGAGGUGAAAGCCCAGAGCUCAGCUCUGGAAUGGCCUUUGAGACUAGAGGACUUGGGUACGGGAGAGGUGAGUGGAAUUCCGAGUGUAGAGGUGAAAUUCGUAGAUAUUGGGAAGAACACCGGUGGCGAAGGCGGCGACCUGGUCCUUUACUGACGCUGAGGCGCGAAAGCGUGGGGAGCAAACAGG